UUUGAGAUGAAAUAGUUUAUGUUUGGAUACACUUGUUUAAAAGUGAUUGUGAUGAGUUAAUGUUGUUUGGAUAG
RNAcentral lists this microRNA precursor (74 nucleotides) under Medicago truncatula (barrel medic). RNAcentral's name for it is "MIR5272 microRNA precursor family". It matches the Rfam family "MIR5272 microRNA precursor family". The record is from Rfam by way of RNAcentral. Lineage: Eukaryota; Viridiplantae; Streptophyta; Magnoliopsida; Fabales; Fabaceae.